UACGAAGGGGGCUAGCGUUGCUCGGAAUCACUGGGCGUAAAGCGCACGUAGGCGGAUCCUUAAGUCGGGGGUGAAAUCCUGGAGCUCAACUCCAGAACUGCCUUCGAUACUGAGGAUCUCGAGUCCGGGAGAGGUGAGUGGAAUUCCUAGUGUAGAGGUGAAAUUCGUAGAUAUUAGGAAGAACACCAGUGGCGAAGGCGGCUCACUGGCCCGGUACUGACGCUGAGGCGCGAAAGCGUGGGGAGCAGACAGG
Molecule: ribosomal RNA, 253 nt
Filed under: uncultured bacterium
Lineage: Bacteria
Description: partial 16S ribosomal RNA
Rfam family: Bacterial small subunit ribosomal RNA
Source: RNAcentral